Molecule: unclassified non-coding RNA, 196 nt
Filed under: Glomeraceae sp.
Lineage: Eukaryota; Fungi; Glomeromycota; Glomeromycetes; Glomerales; Glomeraceae
Description: partial contains 5.8S ribosomal RNA and internal transcribed spacer 2
Rfam family: 5.8S ribosomal RNA (bases 1-72)
Source: RNAcentral
GUGAAUCAUCGAAUUUUUGAACGCAAAUUGCACUCCCCGGUUUUCCGGGAGAGUAUGCCUGUUUGAGGGUCAGCCUAACAAAAAUCGACAUUGUUGCUGUUAUUUAAUGGUGACUUUCGUCGGAGUUUGGGUUAUCUUUAACCUUUUUUUUUUUUUUUGUCUAUGCGCAUUAAACUUUUUUUUAACGUUUCCUUUG